CUCGGCGCUCGGUUGCUAAGGUGUUUCUAGGUGGUUGUUAGAGCGGUUGCUAGGGUACCCAGGGUGGUUGCUAGGAUGUUGAUAUGUGGUUGCUAGGUUACUUGGGGUGGUUGUUAAGCUGUUGCUAGGCGGUUGCUAGGGUGUUCUGAGUGGUUGCUAGGUGGUUGCUAUGUUAACCUGGGUGGUUGCUAGGCAGUUGCUAAGGUACUUGGGGUGGUUGCUAAGGUGUUGCUAGGUGGUUGCUAGGCGGUUGCUAUGGUAACCUGGGUGGUUGCUAUGCUGUUACUAGGUGGUUGCUAUGGUAACCUGGGUGGUUGCU
This is a long non-coding RNA of Cyprinus carpio carpio, 319 nucleotides long. The record is from Ensembl. NCBI's taxonomy places the organism in Eukaryota, Metazoa, Chordata, Actinopteri, Cypriniformes, Cyprinidae.